UAGGGAAUCUUCGGUAAUGGACGGAAGUCUGACCGAGCAACGCCGCGUGAGUGAAGAAGGUUUUCGGAUCGUAAAGCUCUGUUGUAAGAGAAGAACGAGUGUGAGAGUGGAAAGUUCACACUGUGACGGUAUCUUACCAGAAAGGGACGGCUAACUACGUGCCAGCAGCCGCGGUAAUACGUAGGUCCCGAGCGUUGUCCGGAUUUAUUGGGCGUAAAGCGAGCGCAGGCGGUUAGAUAAGUCUGAAGUUAAAGGCUGUGGCUUAACCAUAGUACGCUUUGGAAACUGUUUAACUUGAGUGCAAGAGGGGAGAGUGGAAUUCCAUGUGUAGCGGUGAAAUGCGUAGAUAUAUGGAGGAACACCGGUGGCGAAAGCGGCUCUCUGGCUUGUAACUGACGCUGAGGCUCGAAAGCGUGGGGAGCAAACAGGAUUAGAUACCCUGGUAGUCCACGCCGUAACGAUGAGUGCUAGGUGUUAGACCCUUUCCGGGGUUUAGUGCCGUAGCUAACGCAUUAAGCACUCCGCCUGGGGAGUACGACCGCAAGGUUG
This 549-nucleotide ribosomal RNA is filed under the name uncultured bacterium. RNAcentral's name for it is "bacterial SSU rRNA". It matches the Rfam family "Bacterial small subunit ribosomal RNA", at positions 355 to 896 of the family's 1533-position model. The record is from RNAcentral.